RNAcentral lists this ribosomal RNA (459 nucleotides) under uncultured bacterium. RNAcentral describes it as "partial 16S ribosomal RNA". It matches the Rfam family "Bacterial small subunit ribosomal RNA", at positions 339 to 795 of the family's 1533-position model. The record is from RNAcentral.
CUACGGGCUGCACCAGUGAGGAAUAUUGGUCAAUGGACGCGAGUCUGAACCAGCCAUCCCGCGUGCAGGAUGACGGCCCUAUGGGUUGUAAACUGCUUUUCUACGCCAAGAAACCUGGUUACGAGUAACCAGCUGACGGUAGCGUAGGAAUAAGCAUCGGCUAACUCCGUGCCAGCAGCCGCGGUAAUACGGAGGAUGCAAGCGUUAUCCGGAUUCAUUGGGUUUAAAGGGUGCGCAGGUGGGCUUGUAAGUCAGUGGUGAAAUACUGCCGCUUAACGGUAGAACUGCCAUUGAUACUGCGAGUCUUGAGUAUGGUUGAGGUAGGCGGAAUGUGUUGUGUAGCGGUGAAAUGCAUAGAUAUGACACAGAACGCCGAUUGCGAAGGCAGCUUACUAAGCCAUUACUGACGCUGAGGCACGAAAGCGUGGGGAGCGAACAGGAUUAGAUACCCGGGUAGUC